UUCAGCAAAUAAACCUUAAGACUCUUAAUUCGCUUCGUGAAACUGAACAUUUUGCAAUGUUUAUCCCAAAAUUGGGAUUAUAGUAGCUUUGUCACAUGCGUGAAGCAUGGCCCAGAUAGACAUUUACGGAAUGUACACGACUGACAAGCCGUCAAACACGUUUGACAGAUUGAAUAUUUGCCGGUUUGGGUUAGCUAGCUAGUCAAAUAGCUUGGUAGCCGAAGUUGCGAAGUUUUAACAUAGGCUACUGGACUACCAAAUAUAGCAAGCUGAUUACGCUUUCUGCCAACUAGUUAUUUGGUUAAGUAGGCUAAAGGAAAUAGUAAAAAUGACUCGCCUACCGAAAAACUUCAGAGGAUGAUUAUUUUAUGGUCGUCUACUGCAGCUGUAAAUAGCACACGCCAUAAUGAAAUCACUACGAAAUGGGAUGCCUGCAUUUUCUGACUUCGCACAGACUUACAUGGAAACCGGAUAUGAAAACACCUAUACUGGAGCCAACCGUAGUGGCGCUAGUGAGCAACCAGGAACAAUAAGACCAGGAAAUGAGCUUCAAAAACGAAGUCUGGUUUUGGCCGCUUGGUUGUGAAUUGGUUCAGUUGCAGCGCUGCAGCUGGGUACUAUUGGAGUCCUUUUGCGACAACAACACGCAGUAUUCAACAUGAUCAAGCAUACAGGCAAGAUAAAUGAUGGUUGAUUUGUGGCCAUUUAAGUUAAGUUUUUAUAACUUAAUUUCCUUAUGCAAUAUUGAUAUUCAAAUUAUAUCAGAUUGUUCAAUACGUAUGUUGAGGAAAAGCCACAAAACAGCAGCCAUAUGGAUUUCAUGACAGCAGAUUUUUAGAUUUUCGUAGUGACAACGGUCAAAUUGACCCCUGUGGUGUUUCUAGUUUUAACUACUUUUUAAUCUACCUUAACCUUGCAAAUGCCACAUUUUUUAAUUAACAUGAGCUCGGCGUAUAAAUUAUCUGCCGACAUACAUUUAAAAACAUGACAUUUUCAUUUAUUUGUAAUCCAUGAUUGAAUCCAUGCCUAUGUGUUUCUUAAAGCUAGAAUGCAUGUGUAUGCAUGUCUCUCACUAGACUUAAUGAUCUUAUGGUUCAUACAUGUACACGCAUUAUUAUUAUCAGUUACUCAUAAGAGUACAAAAAGAAAUUAUCUCAACAAAAAAUGAUUUCAACGUUCAAAACUGCCAAGUUAUGCAUACAAAGCACUGUUUAUAAGUCGUUCAUGAAAGCUUGCAAACCCUAGGUCUGCCAUUAAAAGUAUUGACAUCAAAAUGAGGCCAUUUGGCAACCUUAGCUCACAAAUUAAACAAGCUCUAUUUCAAAGCAGUGCUACCCAAUGUUUUCUAAAUUAUUUCAUGCAACUUGGCCCUGAGCUUUUUCAUCUUACCAUCCUACUUGCUGCUGCUACCAAGCUAUGAGUGGAAACAACAAACGGUGUUUUAUAUUUAUUAGUUCAUGAUCCACUGCAAUGAUGCUAAAUGCAAAGUUUCUAAGUGCCACCAUUGUCAUCUAUUUAACAGGCACCUCCUCCCCACAGGCUCGUCUGCAACUAUACCUAUUGAGGAAUAUUUCGGACAAAAUUAAAUUAAUAAAUACAUCAUGAAAUGUGAGCAUAAAUAAUGAAUUGUGGCACGAAAUGUACGUAUGUAUUUAUUUCUUUAUUUAUUUCAAUGACGCUACGUGUGACAUGAAAUAAGGCUUGAAAUUCAAACCGCCACUUUCACCCAUCAAAGUUGGGAGGGCGGGCUCUAGCGAUUACUGUUUUUUUAUUGGUGCAUCGACAUGAUUCGAUUGUUCAUGCGCUGGAGGUGUGCUGUUGGAGCCCUAAACAUAUAUACGUAUAUAUGACUAUGGUUGGAGCCCCCAUAUGGUGCUAACAACCAAGUUAAACUAUGCGGUUGUUCCCUGCAUUUGGAACGGUACUUCUCUCUAGGGUUUUCGACACACUUGUUCCUGGUUAUGGUUAUACACUUUGUAGUACGUUGUUCUGGAUAAGAGUGUCUGCCAAAUGGCUGUAAUGUAAUGUAAUGUAACCGUGCUACCUGUGCUGUUGAAUAAAAAAAGCAACACAUUUGAAUUUCUGAUGUGUAGCAAGGAAGGAAGGAACAUAGGGCGCGGGAACAUCAGGCUGAGCUAGCAUAAGGAUGAUGCCUGAAAAAGAUAGCUUGGCACACUGAAAUUACCUUGGCCAGAGGUGUGUUCAAAUUCAGCGAACAGAGGCGAACGUUCGUGAUGAACACAAACACAAAGCUAAUGGAAAAAAAGUUUGAAAUAGGCUGCAAACGUUUGCCUUGUUCGCUGAAUUUGAACGCACCUCAGGAGUAGUAGAGUGAAUAGAUGGUACAUUUACAAAAGAUGAUUCUGGAGUUGUUUCUGCAGAGACCUGCGAGGAAUUCAGUGCCUCUUGAAUCAAAUUAGCUGCGUCGCGGUGUAAUUGUGGGCAACUUUUCUGCUUGUCCUGACCGCCCGCUGGCACAACAUAGUGUUCUACUGCAUUUUGCUUGCCUUGGGAAUCCUAUCGCUCAUCGCUGGAUUGCUGUAGACUGUAGCCACUAGAGGCGGGUCUCUCAGAAAUACUCAACCUAUCACUAAGCCUCCUGUGUUUUGUGUACUCGCUAGAGCCCGCCCACCCAACUUUGAUAGGUGAAAGUGACGGUUUUAAUUUCAAGCCUUAUUUCAUGUCGCAUGUAGCAUCAUUGAAAUAAAUAAAUGAUUAAAUAAAUGCAUUUCGUGCCAAAUUUAAUUAUUUAUGCUCACAUUUCAUGAUUUAUUUAUUUAUUUAAUUUUAUCCGAAAUAUUCCUCCAUAUAUACCCCCCAAGCAUGACAUGCUGAACAACAGCGUUCCAUCUGGGAGUUCAUAAAAAAAAAUUAAAAAAAAAACAUAUUCUGUGAUAGCAACAGAUAAUGCCAACAAUAGCGUGAAGGGAUGCCAAUACAGUGGUGAAAAAUGCUGCUCACUGAAUAGCGAAAUAAACAAGAGCUAUUUUUAUGGAAUUAUACCAUGUCAUUCUGCUAUCAAUAACUGUGACUAAAUAUGGAAUAACUAUACAUGUAAAGAUAGCCCUUUCAAUAUAUAGUGGUCAUUUAUUGACUUGAACAAUCCAUUUCAGAAAUAAACACGCAAAUAGAAAGCGGGGGUAAAGGCAACAUUCAAAACCUCACUUGCGAUUUAUGCUGGUGUAACUCUGUUCUGAUCUUUAUAGUUUGAUUCAUACCUCUUUCAUCAUUUAGAGGACAGUUCAGCUUUUAAAUGACAUAUGGCAUGGUUCAUUUGAAUUUUAUUGCAAAGCGUGAGAGCCCCGUGUAUCUGCAUGAGUGGUUGCUUCAGCACUGCGUAUAUUCUGCUGUAGCAGUGCACAGUAGUAUACAAACAUUUGUUGAGGUGUAAUAGUUUUUCUCCUUCGCUUUUUGAGGAAACUUUUACAAAUGUUUCCAACUCAUCAGCAUGGCUAAAGCUAAUUUUCUGGGAGGAAGUCAGAAGAACAGGAAGCAUUUAUUCUAGCUAGGAUAUAUAUGAACAUGUAUGUAUUACUUCUUGUAACAUUUCUAUUUACUUGUGUAAUAUUUUUUAAUAUUUUUAGAUUUGCAUUGGUCGUAAAAGGCAGCUAUUAAUCGUUGCUAAAAAUGCUGAACACAUAUGUAUCAGGGAGCAACCUUCAGUGUUUGUAUCGCGGCAUUGUUCGCGUACACUGUACAGUGUGAGCAUACUGUAUUGGCUUGUAGAGGCUUGCAGUGGCCUGGUUUGUUAAAAUUCAUACCACUCACAAUGAAAUAGUGUGAUUUUCAAGAGGUUUGCUAUAUUCUCUAAUGUGGGGAUUUCAAAUGCUGUAGUGUAAGCAUUCAUAGGUGGCUCAAUCAUGUGUUAUGCACCAAUUUACUGUGAAUCCCUGGCUGUUAGUAUGGAAUGGAAAUGGCAAGGAAAAUACUCAUUCAAAUUUACUGUAUGCUGACAUGUGAUAGAUGAACAUACAAUUUACCUUGGAGUGAUCAUAAUAGUAACAUGUCAUCCCAUCCUCAUGCGGCAAAAGAUUACAUACUGUAGAGUACAGAAAACAUACAAGUGUGAAUGAUUACAUAUUUAGGUAUGUGUACCACAGCAUGGCACAUUGUUUUUGCAUUAUUUUUCAAUGUGAUAUCUAGGGCUGCCACUAACAACUAUUUUUCUAUCGAUUAAUCUAUCAACUAUUUUACCAAUUAGUCGAUUAAUCUAAACGAUUAAUUUUCUUCCAAGAAAAUCAAAUUGACCGUUUAAUUUAAGUUCAUUUUAUGUUGACAACAAUAAAUUGUAUGUGUCAUUGUAUAAUGCAGCACAAAACAAAAUGUAAACAAAGGUUUACAUAUUAAAGUGCAAAACUGUAGGUUUAAACUGGCAACUCCAACAUGAUAAAAAAUUUAACAAAAUAAAAAAGAGGGCUUAUUAUUUAAGUCAGUAGUGCAACUCCAAAAUAAAUCCACGUUUCUAUUAAACCCCUUAUCAAAGUAAAGAAAUUAGGUCUGCAUAUUAAACAAAGUGUAACAUGUUUAGAGUGUAAGAGACAAUGGUGUCCAGCUCAAAGUCCAACUCAAAUAUUGGAAUCAAAUGUCUGUUAGACAUGUGUGUUGUAAUGUCAGAAUGUCAACAUGUCCACAUGUUCUGGACUUACAGUAGGCUAGCUCUUUUCUUGGAAACUUUUCACUACUAACGCUUACAUUACAGUGUGAAAUAUCCACAUUUUAUAAUACUCAAUCCACAUUAUAUAACACUCAAUUUCAAAAAUAACGUAUAUAACCAAAAUAUUUUGAGCAGUAAUACUUACAUAGCAAUGAUGAAAUUUUAUCUGUGUUCAGUAGAUAGAGACAGCAGGCUAAAUCAAUGACUGUUCUAUCCGCUUCUGUUUUGCUCGAGAAAAGGAUGUCAGUUAUGUCUAUCAGCAAACAUAUUGCUUAGCUAUGCCCAGAAGUCCUCAAUAAUAAUAGUAUUUUCCAAGAAAUUACGAAAAAUCGUUGACAAUGUUUUGUUAGGUGCAUCGUCUUUUUACUGCUACCACAGAGGGAAUGCGUAAGUGAAUGCGAUGAUAAGAAAAUUUUCGGUUACGCUGACCUAUAAAACGCUAUUCCAAAAGCAAAAUUAGUUAUACAUCGUUAGAAAGCUUAUACUUUCACCUACUGAAUAAAUUAAUUGUCAAUCAAGCCAGACUGUACUAAAAAGGGCGACAACGCCGUAAACAACGCAUGUGGUAUUACGCACAGCUAUUUUUGAAACCUCUGAACCUCUUCCCCACCAAGUCGGACCCUGCUGCAGCCGCCAUGAUUUUUAAAAAAACUGUAGCGUUGACUGGAGCCGACCAAUGACUGGAGCUGUCACAACAAAUUUUAUCCCCCUACAAAUAUCAUCCCCCUAUUCACUUCCAGGGUUACGUUUCCGGUUACGUUCCCUUAAUGCAUAAGUUAGCAUCAGCUUGACUGCCUUGCAUGCAUGGUUUCCAAGUGUUCUCUGCUGAUUGCUAACGACAGUGAGCGAUCGCUAGCUAGCUGGCUAGCUAGCAAGAGAAGCUUUUAUGAAAGUCUAAGCGAAACUCUUCCAGCUAGCUAUUGAUCUGUCUCGCUGGCUAUAUAUAUAUCUCUCGUGCUAGCUAGCUAGCAAUCUAUGAAACUUACUAGAGAGAGAGAUUUUUUAAAUAUUAAUUAUUGUACUCACUGUUUCACCUAAUUUACACACGCCAUUACACAAGCUAAGAUACAGAAAUACCACACACAUACACACACACAAAUUUGUAUUCUGUUCAUAUGUUUAUUGUUUGUUGUACUCAUGUUUUUACAAUAUGUAUAUAUAUAUAUACGUUAUGCCAAUAAAGCUCAUUUGAAUUUGAAUCUUCGGACAGAGAGAUCUGACCAAUCGGCACAAUGUAACGGCACAACAUAACCCUGGAAGUGAAUAGGGGAGAUUAAAUUUGUAAGGUGGAUGAAAUUUGUUGUGACAGAGCCAAAAACGACUGACGUUACGUAGCAAUUAUGUAGUGAUAUUAAAGAAAAACAUUUGUUAUAAUGAAUUGAAGCGUUUUUGAAAUCAAAAAGGUAAAUUCAUAAAAAUAAAAAAAACGAUGCGUCAGGUUAAAAUAUUGAUGUUGACGCAUUUUCAGCGUCGACGUCAUCGAUUACAUCGACUAAUCGUGGCAGCCCUAGUGAUAUCAAUGUUUCAUCAUUAACCAUAAUAAAGGGGCAAAUUAGUAUGCUUUAUAAUGGACAAAAAGCAUUUGGAUAGGUUUUUUAACCCCUAUACUCAUGAAAAGAUAGUAUUUCUCUAUUGAAAAUGAUGCAAAAGUGAGUUUCAUGAGUUAAGACAGUUGAUUUGUAGUGACAUAUAUGAUUAUGUUAGGAUUUAGAACAUAUGUACAAUUUACAUAUUUUAGAUAGAUUUGGAGACUCGAAGGAUAUACUGCUUACUUUUUGCUUCAUAGAUGUUUAGAAGUUCUGCAUAUCACCCUCAUAUUUUGCAUACUUGUGGUCAAGGAGUUUAUGAUGAUGUAUAGUUUUCCCUGCUAUAUAUGCAAUGUGAUCUCUCUGUGUUUCAUUUCAAACUGAAGGAGAACUUCAUUUUGGAAUUGUCGCUAAGAUAAUUGCAUUAGUGGCACUUUAUUUCCACCACAGUUUGCCAGUCCAUCACAGGGCACACACAUUCACUCACACACUCAUACUUUUUUCAGGGCCGAUUUAGGGCUCUUUAGAGGUAGAGAAAUUUAAUGCAAAAAUCAACCCUGGUUAAUUCCGUGAACUUAAGUGAAUUCCAGUUUUGGCUCAUGAAACUCACUUUUGCAUAAUUUUCAAGUGGGAAUUAAUAUCUUUUCAUCAGUAUAGGAGACUAAGAUAUCUAGGGGUCCAAAAACCUAUCCAAAACCUCUCCAAAAAUUAAUAAAAUGGCAUAGGGCAAAUAGAUUUGCUGCUUAUGAUGGUUUAAGAUGAAAUAUUGAUAUCACAUGGAAAAAUAAUGCAAACACAUUGUGACAUGCUGUGGUACACAUACAGUUGAGGCCAAAAGUUUACAUACACCUAGCCUAAAUAUAUUCAAACUCAGUUUUUUUACAACUCACAUUACGUUACCAUAAAUUUAUUUUGGAAAGUCAAUUAGGGCAUCUACUUUUUUCACAUCAGAGAUAAUUUUAAAAGAGUCGAUGGCAGACAGAUUUAAUUUAAUUCACCAUAUCAGAAUUCCAGUGGGUCAAAAGUUUACAUACACCAAGUUGACUGUCUCUUUAAACAGUCUGGAAGAAUCCAGAAAUUGAGAAAUUUAGAAGCUUCUGAUUGGUCAAUUGUCAUAAUUAGGAGUUAAUUGGGAGUUAAUGGGGAAAUCCAAGCAACUCAGCCGAGACCUCAGAAAAAAAGAUUGCGGACCUCCACAAGUCCGGUUCCUCCUUGGGAGCAAUUUACAAACAACUGAAGGUACUACAAGCAUCUGUACAAACAAUCGUAUGCAAAUAUAAAUAUCUUAGGACCACACAGACACUGCAUCGAUCAGGAAGGAGGCACAAAUUACCUCCCAGGGCUGAACGAACUUUGGUCCGAAAGGUUCAACUGAACCCCAAGACAACAACAAAGGAACUGGUGAAGGAGUUGAAGGCAUCAGGUACCAAAGUAUCUACAUCCACCAUUAAGAGAAUCCUACAUCGCCAUGGCCUAAAAGGCUGUCGCGCAAAAAAGAAGCCCCCUACUCCAAGACAGUCAAAAAAAAAGGUCAGAAUAAAGUUUGCAGGUGAUCACCAGGACAAAGACCUAGCCUUUUUGAGGAGUGUUCUCUGUUCAGAUGAAACAAAAACCGAACUGUUUAGCCAUAAUGAUCACCGCCAUGUGUGGAGGAAAAAGGGUGAGGCUUUUAAUCCUAAGAACACUGUCCCAACUGUGAAGCAUAGGGGUGGCAGCAUCAUGUUGUGGGGGUGUUUCUCUGGAAAACUGACUGGUGCACUUCAGAAAAUAGAUGGCAUCAUGAGGUAUGAGGAUUAUUGAGAAAUACUGAAGCAACGCCUCAAGACAUCAGCUAUAAAGUUAAAACUUGGUCACAACUGGGUGAACAAGGUGGCCCUCGAACCUGACUGAGUUACACCAGUUCUGUCAGGAGGAAUGGACAAACAUUCGAGCAAAUUAUUGUGAGAAGCUUGUGGAAGGCUACCCCAAGUGUUUGAUUCAAGUUAAGCAAUUAAUAGGCAAGACCACCAAAUAGUAACAAAGUGUAUGUAAACUUUUGACCCACUGAAAAUUGUACAUAAAAUCUGAAAUAAAUCUGUCUCUUUGCUAUUAUUUUGAAAUGAUCUCUUAUGGAAAUAAAGUAGAUACCCUAAUUGACUAAACACAGGAAUUGUACGGUAAUAAAAAAUGUGUGGAGUUGUGAAAAAUUGAGUUUGAUUGUCUUUAACCUAGGUAUAUGUAAACUUUUGGCCUCAACUGUACCUAAAUAUGUAAUCAUUCAGUAUUGCAAGUUUUUCCUUACUCUAUGUUGCAUUGCGGAUGGGACGAAAUUUUACAAAUUAUAUUUAUGAUCACUGCAAGGGAAGUUUUACUUUCAUCUAGCACGUAUCAGCAUGCAGUAAAAUUUGAAUGAGUAUUUCCCAUGGAAGUAUAGCCCAUGUAGAUACUAAUACCCCAAAUUAUGUACAAUAAGAUUACAAUAAAAUAAUAUUCCUCCAUCAGAAAAUGUUGGCAAUGUUCGGGCUUCACAGUAAGUUGGUGCAUCAAAUAUGACACAUGACUGAGCCACCUAUGACUCCUUACACUGCUGCAUGUGAAAUCCCUGCAUUAGAGAAUAGCACAAUAGCACAAAAAUCACCCAAUUUCAUUGUGAGUGGUAUGAAUUCUAACAAAGCAGGCUUCUACGAACCACUACACUCUGCUUACAUGCUUAUGCCAAGUGUUCGUUAACAAUUCCACUUUAUGAAUACAAAUGUUUGGUGGUGAAAGAAUAUUUUUAUGAACUCCUAGACACUAUUUUCCAGUGUGUCAUAGUUGGGGGGUAUAGUUGCAGAUGAGACUGGAGACUUGUUAAAUGGACGACCUACAUGACAAUGGUGGCACUUAGAAACUCUGUAUUUAGCAUCAUUUUAGUGUGCUGUGCAUUAAUGAAGCUGAAACUCAUAGUUUGGUUGUAGGAACACCGAGGGCACUAUUUUUUGGCCAGCACACGGUGUGUUGCAGCAGUGGUGAAAUUGUAUUUUCGGCAUAUAAUUUAAUGCGCUUGAGCGGUUUGGUAAUUGUGUGAGUCUCCGUGCACCGAAAGGGAGAGGAGCCGCUGCUGGGGGCGUGUCAGUCAAUAUCACAUUACACAGUGUAAUUUUGGCAGCUCAUUUGAACUGUUUGGUACAUUGCGAUUUCGUAUCAUUUUGACUUUUGAAGCAGACUGAAAGCUGUUUCAAUUACUUGUGGACAAAUCGUUCAGUUUAUGACAAAAAAUUAGUACUUGAAUAGUUUUUGUUUUUAUCAUAUAGUUAUAUGUCACGCUAAUUUAUAAUUUAUUAUUGUUAAACAUGAUUAUUUUUUUAAUUGUUUGCAGCAUCAUUAAAAUAAGAGAAAAUGUUUUUAUUUUACCAUUUCAGUUUUCUGAACAUAUUUCUGCCAGGUACUCUGCUGAUAUAUUUACCCAUUAUAAAGCAAUGGUAUGUUCUGUUGAAAUGACUGUAUGAUACUGUAGUGUGCGGUGCAGCUAGUCGGUCAAGUAAUGAGGCAAUGGAACUGUUUCUCUUAAACAGCCAACCGGCUAACUUUUAUUCCCUGCCAAAACCGGCUUACAGGUUGAGAUGUCGCUUCUAACAUUAACCCCAUGUGGCCUGCCCUGCUACCAUCGAGAUAUACAAGAACUGGAGACAGUUUCUGUUUACCGGUUCCAUGGAUUCCUAUGGGAGAUGCUCAAAGGCGCAUGAAGCCAAUUCAUGGACGCAGCCAUGUUUGACUAUCAGCUGUUGGCACCGGAGUGUGCGCACUGGGUACCUAAAGGUGAAGAAUCACGGCAUGGGUGCUCGGGCACGGAAGCACCCAUGGAAGGUCGAGCACCCAUGGGAAAAAUGCACUUGAUAGGCCUACUGUAUAUGCGCCAGCGUAGAGUUGGGGCCAAAUUUACAUUGAUUUGAUAGCAAACUCCACCCAGCAUAUGCUGCAUGGCAUAGCCCACUAACAUUAGACGCACUGUCCAAUUGAAAGCGAUGUCAGAUUAACCGCUAAUGUGUAGAGAAAGGCUGGCUGGCAACUCAUUAGCUAGCCUUCACCUAGCCCAACAAAAUGGACAAAUUUGUGAUUAAACAACCAAAAACAUCAAGCAAUAUAACGAUUUCCACCAUUGCGACUUCCAGUUCCACCAGUGCCUCCAGCAGUGCCCAGUCAACUAGUAACAACAGUAAUAAAGAUAACGACAACCGCAGCAGCGAAGAUGGACAAAAGAAGCGAUGGACUUAUCAAGCUAGUCUAUGAAGCCACAAAAAACAAGGUAUUUUGUGAGGUUUUCACCACAGCUAAAAACAUGGGUGCCCCGCUUCCAUCCAUAACACACGAUCAAGAAUCUUUGAAAGCUUUUGUGCGAGAUGGCUUUUCCAGCUGGGCUAAAGCACUAGAACGAUUCCGAUUUCACGAAAAGUCAAAUCUGCAUAGAGCUACUGUUAGCAUUGUUGCCGCUGCUGAUGUGGGUGUUAAUGUUGCCGGUAAACAAAAGCAGAUGGCGAUGCGAGAAUAGCUUUGUUGGGUAUUCUGUCCUCUAUCCAAUAUCUUUCGUGUCAGGGAUUGGCCAUUCAAGGAAAAACAGAGGAGGAGUCCAAUUUGACCCAGUUGCUAAACUUGCGUGCUCAAGAUAUCCCAGAGUUACAGUCAUGGCUGGCUUGUAAGGAGAGCAAGUGGCUAUCUCAUGAUAUCCUAAACGAGAUGACUGAAAUUAUGGCCUAUGAUGUGCUGAGAACGCUAAUUGAAGAAAUAAAGUCUGGUGAGUUUUUCUCUGUGAUUAUGGACGAGACAGCCGACAUUACGGUCAAAGAGCAGGUGUCUAUCUGCUUCCAUUUUGUGACUGAAAAUCUGGAGCCAGAUGAACUUUCUGUUGGAUUUUAUGAGACAUCAAAAACAACAACAGACACACUUUUUCAGCUGUUAAAAGACGUUCUGAUGAGAUUCUCACUGCCAAUCGGUAAAUGUAGAGGACAGUGCUACGACGGCGCGUCAAAUGUUUCUGGCAUCUGUUACAGGCUGGCGUGCAGGAACAGGAGCCCCGAGCACUGUACAUCCAUUGCACCGCACAUAUUGUGAAUUUGGUUGUGCAUGAUGUUGCCCAAAACAUUCCCGCAUGUCGCAACUUCAUGGAACUUAUUUGUGACAUGAUAACACUGAUCAGAAAUUCACCAAAGUGCCUCACUUGGUUCCAAGAGUUUCAAGGCAAAGAAGCACCGUCUUUGAGACCUCUGUGCCAGAGGUGGGUAGUAACGCAUUAUAUUUACUCCGUUACAUUUACUUAAGUAACUUUUUGAAUAAAUUGUACUUGUAAGAGUAGUUUUAAUGCAACAUACUUUUCACUUUUACUCAAGUAUAUUUGUGAAGAAAAAAUGUUACUUUUACUCCGUUAUAUUCGGCUACAUUCCGCUCGUUACUUUUAUUUUUUACCCAUUUUUUAUUCAAUGCACGUUCUGUUCGUUUCAUUCUCUCAGAGAGACUUCAGCCAAAGAGGCUGACUGGUCUUUGCUUUGGCUCUGUCAUAGCCCCACAUGACUCCGUUUCACCAAUCAAACGUAGCCAGUUACAGCACACAGAAGGAUGAGUGGGCGACAACAAUGGCUGAAACAACUGCGGGUGAUUCGUAGGAGGCAGAACACCCCUGGCCUCACGUUCAAACUACGUUUUACUUACAGACUACCAAAAAAAGUAGUCACAUUAUGCGCUGCCUUCUUUGUCUGCCUAGAAAUGUGGACAUUUCAGCCUACAAGAACUCAACUUCGAACUUGAGAAAAUAUGUGGCGGUAAGUUGUAGGUUAGUUUUGGCUGUGGAUAGCUAACUAUUUGACUGAGUGGUCAUUUAUUGUCUUGGACAAUCCGUUUGUGAAAUAUACGGGCAUUUGUGAUGCCUCGGUAUCUUCCAAAAUAGCUGUGCGUAAUACCACACGCGUUGUUUACGGCGUUGUCACCCUUUUUAGUACAGUCUGGCUUGAUUGACAAUUAAUUUAUUCAGUAGGUGAGAGUAUAAGCUUUCUAACGAUAUAUAGCAUGUCUAAUUUUGCUUUUGGAAUAGCUUUUUUUAGGUCAGCGUAACCGAACAUUUUCUUAUCAUCACAUUCACUUAUGCAUUUACUCUGUGGUAGAGUAAAAGACGCAGCACGGAACGUGGUCAAGGAUUAUUCGUAAUUUCUUGGGAAAUACUAUUAUUAUUGAGGACUUCUGGGCAUAGCUAAGCCGUAUGUUUGCUGAUAGACCCAGAUGACAUCGUUUUCUGGAGAAAAACAGAAGCGGAUAAUCAGAUAAUCAUUAUUAUUUUAAAGUAACAAUACUUUUACUUGAGUACAGGUUUUAGCUACUCUACCCACCUCUGCUCUGUGCCCAACGCGCUGGACCGUGAAAACGGCCUCGUUACAAUCCAUUGCUUCCAACUAGAGCGCGCUAAUGGGAUUUCUCGAGGACCUGUGUUUAAACGACAAAGGUGACGCAGGAGGUAAAGCCAACGGUCUGCUUUUGCUCCUGCAGAAAUUUAGCACUUUUUUCUCAUUGAAACUCAUGCUGAAAUUCUUCUUGCACAUGGAAACAUUCAAUAUUGCACUCCAAAAGAGCCAGUUGCACCUACAGAAAGCUAGACAGAUGGUUGACAUGCUCAGAGAAGACAUAACGUGGCUUUGUGAAGAAGGAUUCCAAGAAACACUACCACAGCAGCACAUGACCUGAACUUGGAGAGCCCAACUGUGCCAAGACCAAGAAAAAUUCCCCGUCGACUGGAAGAUGGAGGUGAGCCGCCACACAGAUUUCGACACCAGGAGCAUUGUACCGACAGCAAUACUUUGAGAUCAUGGAUACAACAUCAACAUCCCUGGAUUGCAGAUUUAGUCCUUCUGCAUUCAAACACAUGCAAGAUGUUGAGGAUUUUGUGACCGGAAAGGGUGACUGCAAAAGCAUCGUGCAGUUCCAUGGGGAUGAUUUGGAUGAAGUGAGGCUGACAUUGCAUCAUGAUAUGUGACGGACGAGGAGUUUGCCUAGUUACUUUUCAAAAUGUAGUGGACUUCCUGAAAGGUAAUCAGGGAGAGCACUUUAGAACCAUGUUGCCAGAGAUCACCAAACUAGUGAAAUGCGCACUGACUGUCCCUGUAACAUCCUGCAGUUCAGAAAGGUCAUUUUCAGGCCUGCGGCAUCUUAAAACUUAUCUGUGGUCCACAAUGGGGCAAGCAAGACUGAACCAUGUUGCUGUAUUGAACUGUCACAAGAGUGUGUCACGAAGUAGGAACCUGAAUGUAAUCGCAGAUGAAUUCAUCAAGCGCAUGGCUGCAAGGAGUAACACUUUCCUCCAAUUUUUAAUGUUUAGUAGCUGUGUGGGCCUAUGUGUUGACGGUUAAUUAAUUGACUGUAUUUUACUGUGUGCACUUGUAUGCUUUCUUUGCAUGUGUAUUAUAACUUGUUUGGCUUGUUAAUAGGCCCCUUGUGGCCUAUACUGUUAUGUUGCAUUCUGUACGGGUGUACUAUAGCAGCGGUGUCUCACAGCCACGGUGGUGUCGGAUUGUGUUGGAUUGUGCACCUAUGAUUUAUGUUCAUGUGUUGUGUUAAUUUUAUUAGCUACUAAGUGUUUAUUUAUUUGUCACGAGUCAUCACCAGGAACAAUGGACACAAGAAAAUUAUGGCAGGUAACAUUACUAUUAUUAAUAUAUCAAAAUAACAAUAUAAUCAAAACAAUAAUGGCGGUGGAUUUGUGUUAUUUUAGGCCAUGGUUUAAUACUCUGUGUAUUCUGAUAUAUUGGUUCUGUGCAAGCAACUCUGAAUUCAACCCUUUUCUGCAUCGAUGAGUCAACAACAGUCUCAUACUCAUUCAUGCUCUAAGCAGUUAUGAGCACUGUGACGUAAAACAAUGCGGACCAAAUUGGAAUGAAAUAUAAAAUCCUUCUGUGGGACUCAAAACAAAAAUCGGUGCCUGGGUCGUAAUCAGUGUGAAGAAAUUUUAGACCUAAAAAGUUCUGUCCAGAAUUAUUUAAUUUGGCCAGGGUAAAUUAGUUUUGAAUGGUCUUCAUUGGGGAAAUUUUCUUUUUGGCACCAGAGGCUUACUAAACUGCAAUACCUUGAGUAACCACUGGAGUUUAUGAGCUUCACCGAGAAUGGCAAUCCCUGGUCCCCUGGCACUGACUAGUGCUGGCUCGCUCCCCAUGGUUCUGUGAUCCAUACGCAGUUCAGUAACCAUGGAAGUUCAAAGUACUUCACGGUCCUGUUCCUUGUAGGCUAUUCAUCAGUUGAAUGCUUUCCACAAAUCAGAGUGAUAUGGUGAGUCAUAUAUUGACCAACCAGAGUCUAGCGUUGAAUAAAUCAACUUGGCUAUAAAUUCGUUACCGAAUCAUGUCAAGAAAAAUCACGCAUUGAUUCUUAUUCUUAUAUGUAUUUUGGAUAUAACUGGGUUGAAAAUGUGACUGUAAACACCUUAGUUUGAUAGAAACAGGAGUUUCUCCAUUACAGUCUAUGGGGAAAUCGAGAUUUGGUAUUUGAUAUUGGUUUCUGCAACUUCUAACUCCUCAUGUCUCUCCAGUUCCUGGUUAUGCUCUAUGGUUUGAGUCAAUAACAGUCGGUUCAUACGCGGGUGUGCUCGUUUAUGCAGUUAAGCGCACUGUGACGUAAAACCUUGCGGACCAAAAUUGAAAUUAAAUAGCAAUGAUAUCUUCUUCCGUGGUACUCUGAAAACAAAUCGAUGCCUGGAGAGUAACUACUGGAGUUUAUGAGCUUCACGGAGAAUGGCAAUCCCUGGUCCCCUGCCUGCUACAGACUGACCUUCCUGUUACUGGGUUCCCUUGGGAUCUUAAAAAGUCUUAAAUUUAAUAAUCAGAAUUUUAGGCCUUAAAAAGUCUUAAAAGGUCUUAAAUAUGAUUUUUUUAAAAGUCUUAAAAAUUGAUUGGAUUAGGAAGUUACUUCUAUGUUGCGAUAACUUCUCUGUAUCACGUUUAAUAGCCUAUCAGUCCACCCCCCCCACCCGCCGCUAACAAUUUGUAUGGAAAUAAAUCAACAUGGAACCAAUAACCGCUAACUUUGCAGCCCCCGUUGAGAACUUAGCAGAGAACACCCAGCUAGCAACUGCGCCUAGCAACCAAGCUUGAGCUAGGGUCAGUCAGAGCCUGAGGUAAAGAGAAAUUCUGCUAGCGUGUCGCGAUCAUACAUCUUGAAAUCUUUACUUUUGUAACUUUAUGGGGAACUAUGGAGAAGUGGAGGGGAACGUUUUUGAAGCCCGCUGCACCUUAUGUAAGAAAAGUUAAACUAGGUACAUUGGGGGUAAAGGCUUUAGAAUCGCAUGGUCAGUCAGAGAAACACAGACCCAAGUGAAAAACCAACAACAAACGCCUGCUAUCUCUUCCGUGUUCGACCCUGCUUCGGGACCAUCAAGUGUGUUAACACGGCGACACAAUUGAAUCGAGAAAUAGCCUACUUUUUUUUGAAAAAAGCACUAUAUUCUGUAACUGAAUUUAGAUCAAACCUACCAUGCACAAAAAUAUAAAAAUGCUCGUCAAUCUGUGUAUAGUGUCAUCAUAGCGUGGAGUGUUUAAAACCAUAAAACCACUCCCUUAAAAUAAAAUAAAAACUGUAGGCUAUUCGUUAACUUUAAAUACAGGCCAACUAGUCUGAUUUUGACAACUUUAUGAUUUAACUGGUUCACGUUUUAGUUUAUAAAACUCAGAAGUAACUUAAACAUCCACUGAGCACUAGUGUCUUACUACCGGUUAAGCAUUUUAGAAUAAAUUCUGCAGCCUGCUUGAGAAUACUUGGUGUACUAAAUGUUGCAAAGAAGUAUAAUCUUAAGUAUAUUUUCCUGAUGUGUAGGCCUAUACUUGUUCAAAAGUGAACUAAGUAGGCUUUCUUAUUUUAAGAAAGAAUUCUAUAUUCGUGUGCUUAUAAAACUUUAUGGAGUCCAACUUGUCAAAGUUUCUUUAUUUAAUUAGUAGGAUGAUAGGACAGCUCCUUAUUCCCAAAUUCCCCUCCUUAGUCAUUGAGAAUUAUUUUAAGAGCUCCAGUCCUAUAGAAAAAUUCCACAAUGCAUUAUGCUACAUCCUCAGCUUGGUUAGACUUUAGCGGAUAUGCCUCGACCCACAUCGUUUUGUGGGUUUUCUUCUUUCAUAGUAAUUUUCCUUCAUACUUUUUUGCCAGUAUGGGCGUGAAAUAGGUAUUAAAUUCUAUUCAAAGUGGUCUUAAAAUGGUCUUAAAAAGUCUUAAAUUUAACUUGUUGAAACCUGCAGGAACCCUGUUACAGUCUCAUUCCCUCCAAAACUCCCUGGUUUGUCCCCUAAAACUUCCUCCCUGCAACACAGUCCCCAAUCUCAAAGUGACCCUCCCACAGAACUAAUAGCCACUACCACUACAGCGACAUCUCCCUCAAAAAUCCCCAACAACACAUUUCCUUCCCCGCCCUCAUGUCAUGGUUCUGUCUUUUUGUUUCUAUUUUUCCUGUGUGGGCCGCCAAUUGGCGGCACUUCUCAGUUUUUGUAUUUCUGUUUCCCCUGUGUUAAUUGUAUUAUUGUUUUCCAUUAUUGUCUCCUUAUUUAAUCAUCGUCCCCACCUGCCUCUCAUUUUCCCUUCCCUCUCGUUUGAUUAUGUAUUGAGUUCACCUGUGUCUUGUCUAUUUAAGUUCUUUGUCCCCUUGACUCGGGUGCUGGUUCCUUGUGUUUGUUUCUGACCAUAUGUAUCUGCCUGCUUUUGUCCUGCUUGUGUUUCAUUUGUUUUUCUGACUGUGUUCCUGCCUGCUUUUGGACCUGUCUGUGUUCUGUCCUGUCUGUGUUCUGCCCGUGCUGUUUCUGUUCCCUGUGUCUGCUACGCUUUGAGUGUUUUGAGUUCCUUUACGUGUUUCCUGGUUUUUUUUAUUUUUCUUUUGGAAUUGCCCCUCGUGGCCUUUUGUUUGUUAUGUUUUGUUUUGUUAGUAAAGUCUUUAUUUGAAUCUA
Molecule: long non-coding RNA, 17090 nt
Organism: Anguilla rostrata (American eel)
Lineage: Eukaryota; Metazoa; Chordata; Actinopteri; Anguilliformes; Anguillidae
Exons: 2
Source: RefSeq, a predicted model, not a curated record